This 354-nucleotide unclassified non-coding RNA is filed under the name plant metagenome. Its description in RNAcentral is "partial contains 5.8S ribosomal RNA, internal transcribed spacer 2, and large subunit ribosomal RNA". The stretch from base 1 to 105 matches the Rfam family "5.8S ribosomal RNA", at positions 50 to 154 of the family's 154-position model. The record is from RNAcentral.
GAAAUGCGAUAAGUAAUGUGAAUUGCAGAAUUCAGUGAAUCAUCGAAUCUUUGAACGCACCUUGCGCUCCUUGGUAUUCCGAGGAGCAUGCCUGUUUGAGUGUCAUGAAACUCUCAACCCCAGCUUUAACCAGCUCGAGGUUGGACUUUGGAUGCCUGCCGCGAACUCGCGGCUCGUCCUAAAUGCAUUAGCUGGAACGUCUCGCUUCACGAGGUUCUCGGUGUGAUAAUACAUCUACAUCGGACGCCGCAAGGCGGCCUCUUUGCGAGCGCGGUCCGCUCCUAAUCGUCCUCAGCGACAGCUUCAUUUAAGAUCUGACCUCAAAUCAGGUAGGACUACCCGCUGAACUUAAGC